UACAGAGGUCCCAAGCGUUGUUCGGAAUCACUGGGCUUAAAGGGCGCGUAGGCGGGCUGCCGCGUCCGGGGUGAAAUCCUCCGGCUCAACCGGAGAACGGCCCCGGGUACGGGCGGCCUCGAGGGGGGUAGGGGCGGGCGGAACUGUGGGUGGAGCGGUGAAAUGCGUAGAUAUCAGGAGGAACACCGGUGGCGAAGGCGGGUCUCUGGGCCGAUACUGACGCUGAGGAGCGAAAGCGUGGGGAGCGAACAGG
Molecule: ribosomal RNA, 253 nt
Filed under: uncultured bacterium
Lineage: Bacteria
Description: partial 16S ribosomal RNA
Rfam family: Bacterial small subunit ribosomal RNA
Source: RNAcentral